UGCUUUACNCAUGCAAGUCGUACGAGAGUUUUCAACUCAAGUGGCGGACGGGUGAGUAACACGUAAGAAUUUGCCUUUAGGAGGGGGAUAACAAUUUGAUAAGGAUUGCUAAUACCCCAUAUGCUUUCGAGUGAAAUGGAAUUUUCCGCCUAAAGAGAAGCUUGCGGCUGAUUAGCUUGUUGGUAAGGUAAUGGCUUACCAAGGCGACGAUCAGUAUCUGGUUUGAGAGGACGAUCAGACACACUGGAACUGAGACACGGUCCAGACUCUUACGGGAGGCAGCAGUGGGGAAUUUUCCGCAAUGGGCGAAAGCCUGACGGAGCAAUACCGCGUGAGGGAUGACUGCCUAUGGGUUGUAAACCUCUUUUUUCAGGGAGGAAUCAAUGACGUGUACCUGAAGAAUAAGCAUCGGCUAACUCCGUGCCAGCAGCCGCGGUAAGACGGAGGAUGCAAGUGUUAUCCGGAAUCACUGGGCGUAAAGCGUCUGUAGGUGGUUUAAUAAGUCAACUGUUAAAUCUUGAGGCUCAACCUCGAAACCGCAGUCGAAACUAUUAGACUAGAGUAUAGUAGGGGUAAAGGGAAUUUCCAGUGGAGCGGUGAAAUGCGUAGAGAUUGGAAAGAACACCGAUGGCGAAGGCACUUUACUGGGCUAUUACUAACACUGAGAGACGAAAGCUAGGGUAGCAAAUGGGAUUAGAUACCCCAGUAGUCCUAGCCGUAAACAAUGGAUACUAGAUGUUGGACAGAUUGACCUGUGCAGUAUCAAAGCUAACGCGUUAAGUAUCCCGCCUGGGAAGUAUGCUCGCAAGAGUGAAACUCAAAGGAAUUGACGG
RNAcentral lists this ribosomal RNA (833 nucleotides) under uncultured bacterium. RNAcentral describes it as "bacterial SSU rRNA". It matches the Rfam family "Bacterial small subunit ribosomal RNA", at positions 45 to 916 of the family's 1533-position model. The record is from RNAcentral.